This 374-nucleotide ribosomal RNA is filed under the name uncultured bacterium. RNAcentral's name for it is "bacterial SSU rRNA". It matches the Rfam family "Bacterial small subunit ribosomal RNA", at positions 524 to 898 of the family's 1533-position model. The record is from RNAcentral.
UACGUAGGGUGCAAGCGUUAAUCGGAAUUACUGGGCGUAAAGGGUGCGCAGGCGGUAUUGUAAGCCAGAUGUGAAAUCCCCGGGCUCAACCUGGGAACUGCGUUUGGAACUGCAAUGCUAGAGUGUGUCAGAGGGGGGUGGAAUUCCACGUGUAGCAGUGAAAUGCGUAGAGAUGUGGAGGAACACCGAUGGCGAAGGCAGCCCCCUGGGAUAACACUGACGCUCAGGCACGAAAGCGUGGGGAGCAAACAGGAUUAGAUACCCUGGUAGUCCACGCCCUAAACGAUGACAACUAGCCGUUGGGAACUUCGGUUCUUGGUGGCGUAGCUAACGCGAGAAGUUGUCCGCCUGGGGAGUACGGUCGCAAGAUUAAA